GCUUUGAUGGGAUUUGGGGACAAAGGAGCCCCGCUUUUGGCGGGAUUUGGGGACAAAAGAGCCCUUCCUGGCUUUCCCUACUUGGACUACGCAGAAAACCCAGAGAAAGAACUUCACAUUUGAAAUUCCUCUGAUCUUCAGAUGGAGGCAUGGAGCUGGGAAAUUCUUCCCUUUGAAGCCACGCCUCUCGUGGACCCAGGAAAGAGAAGUUUCUUUAAUACAGUCGCUCACUCCCAUUCACAGAAGAAGGCAAAGGGGAGCUGGCAUGUGCAGAAAUCACAUGGCAAGAAAGGAAGCAAAAGACAGAGGAGAGGUACCAGGCUCUUUUUAACAGCCAGCCAGCUCUUGAGAAAACUAAAGGGGUUCAAUCACAAAGAAGAACGGGACAGAGCUAGAGAACAGAAAGCCUCUUUUGGUGACUCAAGUGUGCAGAAGGUAAUCAACUCUUCCUAAAUAUCAGACACAGGAUCUCUCUACGUUUCCCAGGCUGGUCUCGAACUUCUGAGCUCAAGCAGUUCUCCUGCCUUAGCUUCCCAAAAUGUGAGUAAAACAGGCAUAAACUACCAUGCCUGAACAGUAUUGUUUUUGAUUUUUUGCUAUUAAAAACUAGAACAGUAUUUGAUUUUGUUAUUUCAGAAACACACAGCAAUGUAACCUGUAGAAAGCAAACAAUUUGCCUUUUUAAAAAAGAAUUCCAAG
RNAcentral lists this long non-coding RNA (699 nucleotides) under Callithrix jacchus (white-tufted-ear marmoset). RNAcentral's name for it is "lncRNA (ENSCJAG00000054901.2)". Lineage: Eukaryota; Metazoa; Chordata; Mammalia; Primates; Cebidae. The record is from RNAcentral.